GGACGAACGCUGGCAGUGUGUCUUACACAUGCAAGUCGGGCGGAUCUCUUUAAUUGCAGCAAUGCAAUUGGAGAGAUCGAGCGGCAAACGGGUGAGUAAUAGAUAGGUAAUCUACCAUAAUGACUGGGAUACCCCUUUGAAAAAGGGAUCAAUACCAGAUAAUGUCAGUUUAAAUAUUUUUAAAUUGAAGAAAGAUGGCCCAAAGCUAUCACAUUAUGAUGAGCCUAUCUCCUAUCAGCUUGUUGGUGAGGUAAUAGCUCACCAAGGCUAUGACGGGUAGCUGGUCUGAGAGGAUGGUCAGCCACACUGGAACUUAGAUACGGUCCAGACUCCUACGGGAGGCAGCAGUGGGGAAUCUUGGGCAAUGGGCGAAAGCCUGACCCAGCGACACUGCGUGGGUGAUGAAGAUCUUUGGAUUGUAAAACCCUUUUCCUGAAGAUGAAAGGUAGGAUUGAGAAUAUCCUUCCUACCCUGACAGUAUUCAGGGAAUAAGCCCCAGCCAACUACGUGCCAGCAGCUGCGGUAAUACGUAGGGGGCUAGCGUUGUCCGGAAUUACUGGGUGUAAAGGGUGUGCAGGCUUCCUUUUAAGUUGAUUGUGAAAUCCAUGAGGCUCAACCUCUGAAUUGCAGUCAAUACUGGAAGGAUAGAGGAUAUGGGAGGGAAGUGGAAUUCCCGGUGUAGCGGUGAAAUGCGUAGAUAUCGGGAGGAACACCAGCGGUGAAGACGGCUUCCUAACAUAUUCCUGACGCUCAUACACGAAAGCUAAGGGAGCAAACAGGAUUAGAUACCCUGGUAGUCUUAGCUGUAAACGAUGGAUACUAGGUGUUGGGAGAGUAACUCUCUCAGUGCCGAAGCUAACGCGUUAAGUAUCCACCUGGAGAGUACGAUCGCAAGGUUGAAACUCAAAGGAAUUGACGGGGGCCCGCACAAGCGGAGGAACAUGUGGUUUAAUUCGAUGAUACGCGAGGAACCUUACCCGGGCUCGAACGGUGCAUGAAUAAGCAAGAGAUUGUUUAGUCCUUCGGGACAUGUAUCGAGGUGCUGCAUGGUUGUCGUCAGCUCGUGCCGUGAGGUGUCGGCUUAAGUGCCAUAACGAGCGCAACCCUUGUUGUUAGUUACCAACAGGUAAAGCUGGGGACUCUAACGAGACUGCCACCGUAAGGUGUGAGGAAGGGGGGGAUGACGUCAAAUCAGCACGGCCCUUAUGUCCGGGGCGACACACGUGUUACAAUGGGGGGUACAGAGGGCAGCCAUCCGGUGACGGAGCGCCAAUCUCCAAAACCCUUCUCAGUUCGGAUUGGAGUCUGCAACCCGACUCCAUGAAGUUGGAUUCGCUAGUAAUCGCGCAUCAGCCAUGGCGCGGUGAAUACGUUCCCGGGCCU
This 1383-nucleotide ribosomal RNA is filed under the name uncultured bacterium. RNAcentral's name for it is "bacterial SSU rRNA". It matches the Rfam family "Bacterial small subunit ribosomal RNA", at positions 27 to 1381 of the family's 1533-position model. The record is from RNAcentral.